ACUCCUACGGGAGGCAGCAGUGGGGAAUUUUGCGCAAUGGGGGAAACCCUGACGCAGCAACGCCGCGUGAGUGAUGAAGGCCUUCGGGUCGUAAAGCUCUGUCAGAGGGAAAGAAAUGUAGUAGUGCUAAUACCACGAUUACUUGACGGUACCCUCAAAGGAAGCACCGGCUAACUCCGUGCCAGCAGCCGCGGUAAUACGGAGGGUGCAAGCGUUGUUCGGAAUUAUUGGGCGUAAAGCGCGUGUAGGCGGUUUGUUAAGUCUGAUGUGAAAGCCCCGGGCUCAACCUGGGAAGUGCAUUGGAAACUGGCAGACUUGAAUACGGGAGAGGGUAGUGGAAUUCCUAGUGUAGGAGUGAAAUCCGUAGAUAUUAGGAGGAACACCGGUGGCGAAGGCGGCUACCUGGACCGAUAUUGACGCUGAGACGCGAAAGCGUGGGGAGCAAACAGGAUUAGAUACCCUGGUAGUCCACACCGUAAACGAUGAGAACUAGGUGUCGCGGGUA
This 505-nucleotide ribosomal RNA is filed under the name uncultured Geobacter sp. RNAcentral's name for it is "bacterial SSU rRNA". It matches the Rfam family "Bacterial small subunit ribosomal RNA", at positions 335 to 831 of the family's 1533-position model. The record is from RNAcentral. Lineage: Bacteria; Pseudomonadati; Thermodesulfobacteriota; Desulfuromonadia; Geobacterales; Geobacteraceae.